AUUUCACGUUGACAUAAUUGAAGUCCAUGCAGCCACAUGUGGAUUAAGACCUUCAGAUAAUGACUGUCACGAGUCAAGUGGAUCAGGAGCAGUCGGUCAAAUCAGUACAUUUCAAAGUACAGAGGAAAUCUUGGAUUGGAUCACUCAUCAAGUUAAUGAAACGAACACAUUUUCUAUCUGUGUUUCUCGAUCUGACCUCUUCAGCAGAGGCAUGCAACAGUGGCAACGGCAGAAAAAGACAUCACCCAAAUCUAGACUUAAGGUCAC
Molecule: long non-coding RNA, 267 nt
Organism: Archocentrus centrarchus (flier cichlid)
Lineage: Eukaryota; Metazoa; Chordata; Actinopteri; Cichliformes; Cichlidae
Exons: 3
Source: RefSeq, a predicted model, not a curated record